CUCUGCCCCGAUACCACGGAACAACAGUUUCAGCCGAAAAUCUUCCGUUACCCCGUUCCCUACGAAAUUCCGCCGAAUACAGGCCAUAGUUUAUGUUGUUUUUCGAUACUUCGUAACUGUUAAGGUCAGGUUAUUUUAGAUUUCGUGCCAAAAUAACGUUUUAAUUAUAAAACGGAAAUAAAUAAAAGCCAUCUACGAUCAUUUUUGAACGAGUUUAGAUUUAUCAAGUACAAUCAC
Molecule: non-coding RNA, 237 nt
Organism: Cinara cedri
Lineage: Eukaryota; Metazoa; Arthropoda; Insecta; Hemiptera; Aphididae
Source: the annotation of a GenBank genome assembly